AUUCGAAGGAGAAAUUUGUAUCUCAUAAAGACUAUAAAUAGAGAACACCAGUCAGUGUUUUUCACACAUUAUUCUACGCAGACUUAAAAGAAAAAAAUUCAGUUUAAAAUUUUAGUUAUUAAGUGUUUUAGUUUACGGAGCAAAAAGGUGUGGUGUUGCUGCUUACACUUCCAGUUCCAGUUUCAAUCAGUGUCUUUGAUUUCCUUUGUUCCGGUGUACCUGUAUUUGUAAGUUUCAAUAACAGUACUUUUAUUUUAUUCAGUUUCAAUAUUAUUAUAUUCCAGU
This 285-nucleotide long non-coding RNA is filed under the name Trifolium pratense (red clover). Its description in RNAcentral is "long non-coding RNA (TPRA_LNC006190)". The record is from RNAcentral. Lineage: Eukaryota; Viridiplantae; Streptophyta; Magnoliopsida; Fabales; Fabaceae.